AACGAACGCUGGCGGCAUGCCUAACACAUGCAAGUCGAACGAAGGCUUCGGCCUUAGUGGCGCACGGGUGCGUAACGCGUGGGAAUCUGACCUUUGGUUCGGAAUAACAGCUGGAAACGGCUGCUAAUACCGGAUGAUGACGAAAGUCCAAAGAUUUAUCGCCAGAGGAUGAGCCCGCGUUGGAUUAGGUAGUUGGUGGGGUAAAGGCCUACCAAGCCGACGAUCCAUAGCUGGUCUGAGAGGAUGAUCAGCCACACUGAGACUGAGACACGGCCCAGACUCCUACGGGAGGCAGCAGUGGGGGAUAUUGGACAAUGGGCGCAAUCCUGAUCCAGCAAUGCCGCGUGAGUGAUGAAGGCCCUAGGGUUGUAAAGCUCUUUUACCCGGGAAGAUAAUGACUGUACCGGGAGAAUAAGCCCCGGCUAACUCCGUG
Molecule: ribosomal RNA, 433 nt
Filed under: uncultured bacterium
Lineage: Bacteria
Description: partial 16S ribosomal RNA
Rfam family: Bacterial small subunit ribosomal RNA
Source: RNAcentral